Westerdykella ornata is the source of this 138-nucleotide non-coding RNA. NCBI's taxonomy places the organism in Eukaryota, Fungi, Ascomycota, Dothideomycetes, Pleosporales, Sporormiaceae. The record is from the annotation of a RefSeq genome assembly.
GGGCGCUUGGUCUAGGGGUAUGAUUGUUAGUAGUCCAAAUCCCAUUACUCUCGUGCAAUUCACUAACAAAGUCUUCAGUUCGCUUCGCAUACUAUAUGAGAAUGUGAAAGGUCGUGGGUUCAAUUCCCACAGCGUCCA